Molecule: long non-coding RNA, 2708 nt
Organism: Cyprinus carpio carpio
Lineage: Eukaryota; Metazoa; Chordata; Actinopteri; Cypriniformes; Cyprinidae
Source: Ensembl
GUUUACUUAGCCACUGUUUUAAAAAAAGGGAUGAAAUAACAAAAACGCAGAGAAGGAAAGGGCUGAGAGAGAGACUAAGUGGGUGAGUGAGUGAGUGAAGCAAGGAAGGAAGGAGCGUAUGAGUUGUCAAGAUGUCAUGCCAAGUAAUUUUAUGCAUCGCCAUUUCCUUGUGUUUUUGCAGAAAACAGUGUGAAUGUUACCCACAGGUCAUGGUGUCAGUGGACGGGCAGAAUGGAGUUUUGUACAGCUCCAACAAUACUGAUGUGAAUGAGAGGGGUGAUGAGCUAUGGAUGCCUCUUACAAAACUGACUCCAGUAUGAGUCAUCAGUGUUGAUCAAGAAAAUCCACAACUAAACCCAUGGGUGGGAAUUAUCUUGGAAGAAAGUUUGGCAAUGGAUGAACUGACCCAUCUCAGGCCUUCUAUGUCCAUUUCUUUUUUUUUCAGACUGAUUUAUGCUCUGCACCUGGACUACCGUAAGUGUGUGAAAAGCACUUUAUAUUUUAUUCAUUAGAUAAUGCUCAACCUCGGACAAGGGGAGCUGGCACCCAAAAUUCUGUACUGCCAGUAUUGUGAACUCAGAGUGGAAAAAAACAUAUUGAUGUAAUCUCUUGUGAUUCUGAGAUAGACUGUUCAUGUGCAAGUUAAUUUGUUAAUCUAGGUUGUUUUUUUGUUUGUUUGUUUUUGUUUUUUCUGUGGAAAUGUUUUCAGGAUAUGAAAAUUUCAUGUUUUGUUUUGUUUUCAAAAUUAACAUUUGGAAUUUAAUUAAAAUAAAACAGAAAAUUGCAUGAAUGUUCUUUUAUUUGUGUGCUUUUUUUUCUAAUUUAACAAAUUGGAAAACUAAAACAACUGAUAUAGAUGUAACCUGGAAAUUAGUACAGUAAACUUAAAUAUACUAGGUGUAAUAAGUGCAAAUUAAUUGAGAUUACAAAACAUUUUAAGUUAAAUGAACUGAACUUAGUAAUUGAUAUUGAAAUUAAUCUUAUUUUUUUUUAGGGCAACCAGUUUCCUCAAGUUUUUUUAAAGUAAAUUAAACUUAUCCAGGUUUAGAAUUUCAUUGUAUUAACAAUUGUAUUCUUCAGAGUAUCAUCUUUUGUGUUCUGCAGAUAAAAGAAAGUCAUACAGAUUUGGAAUGCAAUGCUAGUAAGUAAAUGAUGACAGAAUUUUCUUUUCUUUUUUUUCUUUUUUUUGGGAGGGGGGGGGUGAACUAUCCAUUUAAUACUCUCUUACAACACAGAAUUGAACACAGUAUUGCAGUUUAGAUUUCCUUAGAAGAACCUUCGAAAUCCGGCUCCAAACUAGCCCAGCUGCCAUUCCAAACAUUCUUUUUAACAAAACUAAUAACAAACGUCCUCUUUCCCGUAAGCUGUGUAGACAGUUCAAACACAAAAGCACACACAUGCUUCAGCCAAUAACUUUCACUCUGUUCUUCUGCUGUUAUAAACUGUAUUUCACAUAGCCUUUUUAAGAGCAAAUUCUUUUUCCUUUAUUUUUUAUUUUUUUAAUUACUGGUCAGUCCUGUCUUUGGCAGUAUGUUGAUCUGACAGUAGAGAGCAAAAUAAAGUACAGCUCUAUUGUUGAUAAGAGCAGUUAGCCUGUGGUUUAACUUUUCACAGUCAGUUUUCAUUUUAGAGAGAUUACACUUCAGAGAGGUAUUUCUCCAUUUCAACCAAAACAGAUUGUGGUUGAUGAUGGCCUAUUUGUACACACUGUUUUACCAAAAUCCUGAGUAACAGCGUAAAAAAUCCAGCAAACUAAGCAAUUCUGAUUGGUUUAACGAUGCACGACUGUUCAUCUGAGUUUUUGACUAAGGCAGGUGUGUCUUAGCUCUUAUUUCAAUAAUAUUAGUCAGGAAGUUAAGACAUUUUAUGCCUGAUAUUAUCUCAGUUUCUUGUCAGAAACAUUUCAGUAAGGUGUUAAAAUGAACAUCAAGGAAACAGUGAGAAUGGGAUUUUAUACCAUGUUUAAUGGAGGAACUUCAAAGGCUAUCCUGGAGUUAUAAUUGGCAUAGUUAAAAGUGAAAGCUGCAAGAGAACUAAUAUUCAGAACAUCCUAAAACCAAAGGCCCAACUCUACUCAGCCUAUUUAGUCAGUGUAAAUUCUGUUCAUGACUCUUUAAAGCCAGUGUGCUGUUUUAUAAGUUCAUUCUUGACCUCGGUGAAUGCAAUCAAAGUAGAUAUUAAAAACUCUUGUUAAAUUACAACAUUUUUCUCACCAAAUAUACAAAUACAGUCAGUUGAACUUGACAAAGAAUGAGGCACUGAAAUGCAAACUAGAAAAUAACCAAAACAGUGUGUGGUGAAGACAUAAGGCAGCUAACCUUGUGCUAUAUUGUGAUUUAAUGACUUCCAAAGGGAUUUGGUUGUUUGUAAGCUGGACUGAUUGAUAACCUUGAACAACUAAAGUUUUGGCCAAAUGGAUACCCUAGACAGAAAGAAAUUGAUCCUCACACUUCUUCUGGCCAUUUAUUUUCAGAUACUCUCAAGUAUAUCCAUCCAUCCAUCUAUUUGAAAAGACAUGUUUAACACUAAAACUAAAUGGCCAGAAACACCUUAUAAGUCAAUGAGUGCAGCAUUUACAAAAUCUUAUUUGUUUUUUUUUUGUUUUUUUUUACCUGAUGUAGUCAUCGCAAAUCUUGUCUUGAAAGAAGGACAAUGAGUACAUUUUAUUUUAAUGUUUAUAUUAAACUUAUAUACUCAUCCAAUAAAAC